UAUGUACCUAAGCAUAAUAAUGUAUUGCAAUGUUUUUCUACUAUUGCGUCAACCUCAACCGCGUCAUGUUUCUUUUCUUCGCCUAACAAAACUUUCCGUCAUAAUUGCCAAAUUUUUAUUGAUUAUUUAAAUUUUAGUGAAGUAAAUGUAACUUUUUCCACCUUUCUUAUCUUUAGAGAUAAGCAUUCGGCCGAUUUUACUCUGGUCUCUUUUUUUUCUCGUCGCAGUAUCAUUACGAUUUCUCUUUAAACUAGAUGCGUGUAUAUUUACGCGAAUUAUUCAAUAUGUUUUGUACUUUUUCAAUCUAGUCAAUUUUUGUAUAAAAUGUAAUAAAAUGUAAAUAGGUAAUAAAUUCGCGUGUGCUUUUUCGUUUAUGAUCGCGAAUCCACCCCUUCAAUUAACAGUGCUGACGGGACUAGGUACUUGUCACAGUGUUGUCUGCAUCGAACUCUGGUUGUGGCAUUGUUUAAUUUAAUGUUUUGAUAUUUACGCGUCAAUAUUCCAGAAGAAAAAAUGUCUCCUCUUCACAAUCAUUCAAAAUCUGAAAGGCCUGGUGAAAUGGAAGAUAAUGCGCGGGACAGUGUGCCUGAGCAACAUAUGGAUGAUGAUGAAGAAUGGUGUUGUAACUUGAAAGAAAAUUUUGUAAUUCAGAAAUAUAUUACCAAAGGCAGUUACGGCAGAAUAUUCAAGAUUCAAGAAAACUCGUCGAAUUUAUUUUACGCAUUGAAGGUGAUAUCACGCUUCAGCAAAGAUGAACUUGAUGAAGUGGACGAACUGCAAAAACUGCGAGAAAAACGUAUCAUGGAAACCAUUGAAAGCUAUCCUUUCUUAGUUAAACUUCAUUCAUCGUUUACAACGCCUCUGCAUAUUGUGUUGAUAAUGGACUACAUUGAUGGAAUUUCUCUUGCUGAUUACGUGGAAAGUCUUGACGCGUGCACACUUCCGGAAGGCGACGCAGCAUUUUACAUUGCAGAAACAAGUCUGGCAUUACACUUUUUGCAUAAAAAUGGAAUCAUACACAGGGAUGUAAAAGUAGACAAUAUAAUGAUAGAUGUUGACGGGCAUGUCAAGCUGAUUGACUUCGGCGGUGCAAAAGAUGGAUUAGGGUUUGGUGUAAGGACAUCUACACUGAUUUGUUCAGAAUUUAACGCAGCUCCUGAAAUAUUUUCGGAAUUAUCAUACACAUUUAUGGUGGAUUGGUAUGCUUUGGGUAUAGUGCUUUGUUUGAUGCUCACGUCAGACCACCCAUUUAUAUCGCUAGUUGGCAGAUGUUCAGAAGAAAUCACCUUACAGGAAUAUAAAAACAUGAUAUCAGCAAUUCAGAAAAAAGAAUUCCAUUUGAAAAAAGACGUAAGCAGCGACGCAUUUAGUCUUCUACAGAGGCUGCUGGAAGCAGAUCCGAAGAAACGCAUGGGAAGUUGUGACAGUGCUGAUGAAAUGGAAAUUAAGCAACAUGUAUUUCUGAAUGAAAUCGAUUGGACUAUGGAAUACGGGAUGAGAAAUUGUGGUGUCCGCAAUACGACUCUGUUCCCAUUUCGCCCUCCGUCCCUUCCUCAUUUCAUCUCGCAUCGAAUCCUUCAUCCUGCCUAGUGGUGCAUUUUUCUGAGUGGUGCCACAAGAGCGAGAGUGUGCCAUGGAAAAUAUAAGGUAAUGUGUCGAUCAUUCAUGAGGCUCCAUUUAUUCCUCACAUAAUGUUAUCAUCAUCCCCGCUCGUUCUCGCACCAUUAGGGAGUAAACCGCAUUUCAUUUCGCGAUGCCACAUUGAUGUUUAUUAAAAUGUUGGAAGAGAAAAAGGCGAAACCUCCAUUUAUACCGAAAGUUGAAAAUGCACGUGUCAAGCAAUUAUAACAUAUUAAGAGGAUAAGUGAUAAGUUACGAGUACACCUACUACCUCUGUAACAAAUAAAAACGUAUAGGUACAUGUUA
This is an RNA transcript of Planococcus citri (citrus mealybug), 1926 nucleotides long. It is a transcript of the gene named protein kinase C zeta type-like, with no coding region annotated. The transcript has 10 exons. The record is from RefSeq and is a predicted model, not a curated record. Lineage: Eukaryota; Metazoa; Arthropoda; Insecta; Hemiptera; Pseudococcidae.